CCUGGUUGAUCCUGCCAGUAGUCAUAUGCUUAUACUAAAGAUUAAGCCAUGCAUGUGUAAGUAUAAAUUCUUUCAUACGGUGAAACUGCGAAUGGCUCAUUAAAUCAGUAAUUAUCUAUUUGGUGGUAACAAGUUACUUGGAUAACCCUGUUAAUUGUAGAGCUAAUACAUGCCAGAAGAUCCGAGAGAGGCUAGGUGGCAACGUCUAGUUCUUUCAAAGAUUGCACUUGUUAGCCUUAGAAGCCAAUAAGAAAUGAAGCGAUUUGUUUCUUAAACCCAUUGGCGAGUCAUAACAAUUUAGCGAAUCGCAAAGUCUAGAACUUGCGAUGCUCCAUUUGAAUUUCUGACCUAUCAACUUUCGAUGGUAGGAUAGAGGCCUACCAUGGUUGUAACGGGUAACGGGGAAUUAGGGUUUGAUUCCGGAGAGGGAGCUUGAGAAACGGCUACCACUUCCAAGGAAGGCAGCAGGCGCGUAAAUUACCCAAUCCCAACACGGGGAGGUAGUGACAGUAAAUACCAAUGUAGAGCCUUAUAGGUUUUACAAUUGGAAUGAGUACAAUCCAAAUCUCUUAACGAGUAACAAUUGGAGGGCAAGUCUGGUGCCAGCAGCCGCGGUAAUUCCAGCUCCAAUAGUGUAUACUAAAGUUGUUGCGUUUGAAAAGCUCGUAGUUGGAUUUUAUGAUUGGAACGAAUUAAAUUUAAAAAUUUUUACUUUAGCAAAUUUUUGUUAAAGUGAAAGAUUUAGUUUGUUUCGAUUAUUUCCUUUUAAUAUUUUUAUUAUUGUUUUUAACUAAACGAUAAUAAAAAAUUAAAUCUAUUACUUUGAAAAAAUUAGAGUGUUCAUAGCAGGUGAAAUUUCGCCUUGAAUACAUUAGCAUGGGAUAAUAAUAAGGACUCUUUUCUUUAUUUUGGUUUUUCUAAAUUAAAGAGUAAUGAUUAAAAGGGAUAGUUGGGGUGAUUUAUAUUUCUUCGUCAGAGGUGAAAUUCUUGGACCGAAGAAAGAUAAACUACUGCGAAAGCAUUUCACAAGGAUGUUUUCAUUAAUCAAGAACGAAAGUAAGGGGAUCGAAGACGAUCAGACACCGUCCUAGUCUUUACCAUAAACGAUGCCGACCAGGGAUUAGAAGAACUAAGUUUUACAUUGUGAGCAAUCACAAUUGUGACUCCUCUAGAACCUUGUGAGAAAUCAUAAGUGUUUGGGUUUCGGGGGGAGUAUGGUCGCAAGGCUGAAACUUAAAGGAAUUGACGGAAGGGCACCACCAGGAGUGGAGCUUGCGGCUUAAUUUGACCCAACACGGGAAAACUUACCAGGUCCAGACUGAAGAAGGAUUGACA
RNAcentral lists this ribosomal RNA (1335 nucleotides) under metagenome. RNAcentral describes it as "SSU rRNA". It matches the Rfam family "Eukaryotic small subunit ribosomal RNA", at positions 3 to 1245 of the family's 1831-position model. The record is from RNAcentral.